GAUGAACGCUGGCGGCGUGCCUAAUACAUGCAAGUCGAGCGAACAGACGAGGAGCUUGCUCCUCUGACGUUAGCGGCGGACGGGUGAGUAACACGUGGAUAACCUACCUAUAAGACUGGGAUAACUUCGGGAAACCGGAGCUAAUACCGGAUAAUAUAUUGAACCGCAUGGUUCAAUAGUGAAAGACGGUUUUGCUGUCACUUAUAGAUGGAUCCGCGCCGCAUUAGCUAGUUGGUAAGGUAACGGCUUACCAAGGCAACGAUGCGUAGCCGACCUGAGAGGGUGAUCGGCCACACUGGAACUGAGACACGGUCCAGACUCCUACGGGAGGCAGCAGUAGGGAAUCUUCCGCAAUGGGCGGAAGCCUGACGGAGCAACGCCGCGUGAGUGAUGAAGGUCUUCGGAUCGUAAAACUCUGUUAUUAGGGAAGAACAAAUGUUUAAGUAACUAUGCACGUCUUGACGGUACCUAAUCAGAAAGCCACGGCUAACUACGUG
This 497-nucleotide ribosomal RNA is filed under the name uncultured bacterium. Its description in RNAcentral is "partial 16S ribosomal RNA". It matches the Rfam family "Bacterial small subunit ribosomal RNA", at positions 28 to 507 of the family's 1533-position model. The record is from RNAcentral.